This 11475-nucleotide long non-coding RNA is filed under the name Linum usitatissimum (flax). RNAcentral describes it as "long non-coding RNA (LUSI_LNC002976)". Lineage: Eukaryota; Viridiplantae; Streptophyta; Magnoliopsida; Malpighiales; Linaceae. The record is from RNAcentral.
AACACAUGAAUAAUUUCAGAUGGACUUACAGGUUGUUCAGCUACUGAAUAAUGGGAUGAUUUUGAUAUAACAAAUGAGAAGAGAGAACACAAUCACACAACAUGAGAAUUACAUGGUUUCCCAUCAGUGUAUUGAGUAUAUCCAUAGAUGAAUACCACAACAAUCUUAGUCGCCACAAACUUGGUCAGUAAACCCACCACAAUGAGAAAUCAUCAGGUAAAGAUUUCCAGAAGGUAUGAUUUCUGUUGUUGUAUUUCAAGGUAAGCAGCUAGGGAUUAUACACAGGCACUGCACUCAUUAAGGAGCAGAUUAGGCACUACAAGUCAGGGACCACCUCACCACUCAACUACUAUAAUUGGACCUAUACUACUUAAACUAAGGCUAGAUACACUUGAGUAAUCAGGACAGCUAACAAAUUCUAAGCACAUAUGAUAAUUCUACAUUAGGCAUUCAUGAAAUCAGCAGGGAGAACUUGAAAGCAAUUCGUUGGUAGUUUUAUCCAUGAUUUAAAUGCAAACCACAUUGUCUGGACUUGAGUUCCUAAGCAAACCCUUAAAUCAAACCCUAGGGAAUCCGAGCUUAUCGCUUCUGCUUCCUACAAUACAUCACCAAUAAAGGUAGUUAGUCAUGUAGUCGACAAAUUUACAAAGAAGGGACCAUGUGACGACCUCGUAUAAAGGACUGAUUUAUGCAACACCUAGAGACUUUGGCCUACAGAAAUUCCAGAUUCUAUGGUUAACACCCUCUAAUCUAUUCACCAUAAAAAAUUUAGCUAAGACAAAUAACUGUCAGAAGUCUCGUCCUGUUUUAACAGAAAAUUAGGCAAGGGGCAAGGUUAUCCAACCUUAAAGAUAUCUGUUUAUAUACAUGGACAAAAUGCAUACAUACAACCUUGAAUCUUGGUUCUUAGAGCUUAAUGACCUUGCUUCCUUACAAUUGACAGAUGGCAGUCCCUAUUAUCAAUAUGUUCAAUCAGCUAGCCAAAUGCAACACAAUUUAUUUAACCAAAACAUAAUCUAUUCAGUAGUCACCACCCCGGUAGCUACCACCAUCUCUGCCACUAAGGAUCCCGAGUCAAUCAGACUGAACUUUGAGAAAUGGAUUGGAAUUUUGGAAAUAAAGAGGAAAACUGAACAAGCGGGUACCUAGAAAAGCAACGUAGCCAUUCAAAGCAGGUGGCGAACAUUGAAUCAUUGUUGCAAAACAUAUUCCUAUUUGAGAAUUGUUGGCACCAAGAUAACGCAACUCAAACCUUGCUGCUCUCUUCCAUGAUUUGAGACUUCCAGCUUGGUUGCUGUCCAAGUAGAAACGCCCACAUCCUGUGAAUUUACUGCAAGUCCAUCUGAAAAUCAUACGUAUUAAGAGCAAAAACAACCAUUAAUGAUGCUUCCAGCCAUAUAAAUGGAAGGAAAUAGAUUAAUGUAUCAAGCGGGUGAAGAAAUAGUAAAACAUUCACCAUUAAAACAAAAACCUAAAACACAUCAACAAUUUUGUCAGCAACACUUCAACAAGAAUCCACACCCAAAUUCAGAGUAAAAUUAGCUUCCUGAAAGGUGAUCCUUUUAAUCCCAUCCCAAACAAGUGUUCCAUAACACCGUUAUGGAUGCGAGCAGCUGAACUACUCCAAACUGUUUUCCUUCUCCACUACCAUUUGAUAUAAUUAUCCAGACUACUUUCAUUAUCGUAUAAAUAUAUACAUCUUCUUCCUAUGAGUUUCGUCCCUAAACUAGCAAUUUGUAUCUCGUGCAUAAGACUCGAGGGAAAAUGAUGUUUAGAACGUACCCCUUGUCGAGCUAACUGAUACAAAAACUUCUUCUACGAAGAGCAUGUCGUGCCCCUUGUUCUCCACGAAUCUUUCUGUUGGACUGGAAGUUGUCCCAGGGGCUGGAAAGCUGAUUUCUUUCAAUUCAUCAAUGUUCCAGCGAUUGAAAUAAUUAUGCAGGGAAAUAAUCAAACAAUAAAGGUGUCCCUAAACCCGCCCAUUGUCAAGACUAGUUAUGUCAGAUUUUUCACCAAUAAAGCAUUGAACUUAGACCUAAAUAACUAUUAGCUUCAAUAACGUUCACAAACCAACAGCAUCACAUACAGACGGACCAUAAAAGUUCUCCACAUAGUUGAAAGAUUAUAGGGUACCUUUAUGCUGGCAAUGAAUUUGCUAUGGGGACUGACACUAUUGAAUUUGCUAUGCGGCUGAUCACCAUACAACGAAUAGAAGGAUUAGCUGACGAUUUACUUUGACUAUAGCACCGGCCAGCACUUGCUGAUUCACUGUUGCAGUAUUAGCUUCAAUGUUCACAAAUUGCCAAUGAAUUUGGGUCCGUAAUUCUAUGGAAACUAAUGCCAUGUACAAAAAGAUAAUCAUACCUCACGAUUUCAUAACUAAAUCUCCUCUAGUGAAGAUUUCGAGAUCAUUGUUGUUUGUCUAGCAGGAUCCGGUCGCUGUGUUGGCGGCUGACAAGAUUCCCGAGUUUCUCACCCAAACUAGAGCGGAAAGCUACGGGUGCCGAUUUUCUUUUUCCCGUUAUUUUCUAAUAUAAAAAUAAAAUAAAAAUACGGUCAAAAUAUCACAGAAAAGUCAAUAUGUCGGGUAAUUAUCGCGAAAUAUCAUCGCACGAGACAUAUCGUCAAAUUCUCUUUCUCGGCAAUUUCUCGCGUUUCGAUUUUGGUUUGAAAAACCGAAACUUUUCGCGUUUCAACAUGCGUUUCGGCGUGUAUUUUGGUUUCCGAGGAUUUUCAGAUUAACCGAGUCGUCUGCGGCGGCGUUUCGAUUUCGUUUCCGAGAACCUGAAACGUUUCGGCGCAUAUCAGGGAGUUUCGGCUAUUAUAUCCAUUUUCCCCUUUUCUUGAUAUUUGUUUCCCCGAUUUCCAACUUCUUGUGGCUGCGCUGCUCCCAUGACUCUCCCAAUUUCGUAAGUUCCUCCACUUUUACUGUUGGCUUUUUGUUAUCUUUGUGAAUUGAUUUGUUCUCCUGUGUAUCUAUCAGUUUGGGGGACUGUUUGCCGACAUACUUCUGUUUUCGCUGAAGGAAAAAAUUGAUGGCCAGAGAAAGGAAAGAGAAUUCUGGAAUUGACAAACGAAUGAAAAGAACAGAAUAGGGGGAAGCUAAUGAGACAAAUGAAAACAAAUGUGCAUAUUAUCUCACCAAGCAAGAUUACUUUCCCUAAUCUCUUUAUUGUCAGUACAUGCUUCUGACCAUGAAUAAUCAGAACGAUUGGUUUGGAGAUGGUGAACGGGGUAUCUAACAUAACCAGUCUUUAUGUUUAUAACAGAUAAUAAGCAGCACAUAAGCAUUAUUUAGACUGAAUUCUCAGUUUAACGCUUGUGAUUGAAGAUCACAUUGAUAGCUUUAGGUUCAGCUGUGACCAGGAUCUUUGGGUUAAAAUGGAUUAAAGACUGACCAGAAAGCCAAUCAGUUUCAGUACGAUUUAAGACAGUUAAACUGAUUCCCACCAACAAAUAGCACACAAGGUUUAAAGCAUGUUACCUCCACUCGCACAGCCUUUAUAUCUCCAACACAAGAAUAUCAACGCUUCAGAAUAUCAACGCUUCCACAACGGUUUCACCACCAUCUUUGAGGCGGGAUAUGAUUUUCACUGUCUUCUAUGGAACAUAUACAGAUGUUUCCGAUGUACUGUGCAUGGGUGAUGCAGCUAAAUAUAUAUAGAGAAUUGAGUAUACAAGCAGACAAUAAACAUUGGUUACAUUGAUCUACAGUCUAAGAACCUAGGUUUUGAUUCAAAUGAUGCAGCUAUAUACAUAUAGAGAGAAUGAGUAUAUAAGCAGACUAAACAUUGGUUACAUCGAUCUACAGUCUAAGAACCUAGUUUUUUAUUCAAAGAGUGGACUCAUGCACUUGGUCAACAAAUAGAUUAAACGAAUUUGGAAAAAACCCAUAAGACAGUGUUUGAACCUGUUGGGUGCCUGGUCUGAAGAAAUUCAAUCCCUUCUAGACUCUUCAAAACUCUUAAUAGGGGUAGUAGAGUGCUCAUCAGCUUCCAUAUCGGCCAAAAACCUUUUGGAGGCUGCGUUUGGCAUCCACGAAUGGAACUUUGAAUGUGCUGAACCAUCAUCAACAGGUGGCUAACUCUUCUACACAAGCAAAGUACCCCAAGCUUCAAGAUAACUCGUCUACACAAAUUAUUAGUAGAAAGAGCUGAUUACGGAGAGCGGAAUCGUAUGUGGAGCGUGUAUAUUGAGAAACAAUCCCAGAGGACACUCACCGGAAUAGCGCCGACUGGGAGAACUACAAUCCAGAUCAUGCAAGAGACCUGACUCCAUUUUAGGGAUCUGAAUAAGAUAACGGGAGGUGGGAUGAGGAGGUUUACAAAAUGAACCUAUGUGACAAUUUAUAAUAACAAUUGCCGGGAGAAUGCCAUCAUUUUGUAUCAGAAGAGGAGAAGAAGAGCAGUAGCUGCACAUCAUCCAGAGAAGGAAAUGCAUUACCGUUGGAAGAAGAUGAUCAGAGUGACCAGUUUGCAACAGAGUGAAAGUUCAAUGAUCAUAAGUGCAAGCUGGACACUUUCCGUUUAAUGAAGCUGUGUCGUUUUACUUAAGACGUUAUGUAAUAAUUGGACCACGUGGCCAUCUUCGUUUAUUACCGUUUUAGUUUGUUACUACAGUAAAAGGUGAAAAUGCUGUAACGAUAAGAGCAAAGGAAAUGAGAAAUGAAGGAUAAGUUUUCAGCAUCCAUCUUCUUCUUCCUUCACUCUCUCUCGUUUCUCUCCAUCGACCUCUCUCACCCAUUUCUCACAUGGUAUCAAAGCGCACCUGAUGGUGGUCACUUCAGGGAACGCAACUCCGAUCAUCUUUGGAUCGGUACAGGAUGAAGAAGAUGACGAUGACAUCAACAACACAAAUCAUCAACUCCGUCGCAAUCAUGGCGGAAACUCCAACAAUCCACCUCCGUCUCUCAGUUUUGGUAACCCAUUCUAUCUCAAUCCGAACGAAAACUUAGCCCAAUCCAUCGUUAAUGUUAACCUGGACGGUGGUAACUAUCAACUCUGGAGCAGAUCCAUUAAAUUUGCACUUAAGACUAAACACAAAAUCGGAUUCAUUGAUGGUUCUAUCCAUCCACCAGAGUAUUCUGAUGACAAAUAUACUCUCUGGGAUGCAUGUAACACCAUGGUACUAUGCUGGAUUAUGAAUUCACUGCAUCCAGAAAUAAGGAGAAGCGUUAUGAACCAUGAAAAUGCUCAAGUGUUGUGGAAUGAGCUCAAAGCUCGAUUUGGACAAGCUAAUGCUUUGAGAUUAGCUAACUUGCAGGAUGAGAUUCAUGCUUGCAAGCAGGGCCAGAUGAAUGUCACUCAAUACUACACCACAAUUAAGGGACUAUGGGAAGAGUAUGGACAGUUCUCCCCAAUCGUUGCUUGCACAUGCUUACCUGGGAAUCCAAAUAUCUGCCCUGCUGUGCUAGCAUUCCAGACUAAGCAGGAUACUGAUUACUUGAUCAGGUUCCUGAGAGGCUUGAACAACGAAUAUGAUACAGUGAAAACUCAACUGCUGAUGAUGAGACCUCUUCCAACAAUCACAUCUGCAUAUGACAGUGCCCUACAACAUGAAGAGAAAUUGAGAGGAGGAGCAGUCAUUGCCAAUGAUGUGACUCAAUCCAGUGUGUUUGCUGUUAGCCAAAACUAUAAUGCUGACCAAGCUAAACAAGCUAUGGCUGUCACUGGGGAUAGGAGGCUAUUCUGCAAGUACUGCAGGAAGGACAAUCAUGUGGUUGAGGACUGCCUUAAGCUCAAAAACAAGAAAAAAAGGGAGCAGGAGCAGAAGACUGGAAGUUACUCAGGGAAUCAAAAUGCUGGUAGAUUUGCAGGCAUGGUUACUCAAGAAACUGAGUCCAGCAGUUCUGAUUCAACUACUUCCACAAUUCAUCAUGCUCCUUUCACAUCUGAAGAGCUUCACCAGCUCAGGAGUUUGUUGCAACAAGCGUCAAACCCUCAACACAAGGCAUUGGCAGUGAGCCAUGUACCUCCUCAGACUCCUCAUCAUCAUCCAGGUAUGUAUACUCUAGCUGCUAGUACUGAUUAUGACUUGCUAACUACCUGGAUCAUUGAUACUGGUGCAUCAGAUCACAUCUGUUGCAAUCUUAGGUAUUUCUUUAACUAUAAAGCUGUCGUUGGUGUCUAUGUGUUUCUCCCCAACUCCACAAAAGCCCCUGUCAGUCACAUUGGAUCAGUUACACUUCCUUUCGGACUGAUCCUUCAUGAUGUCCUGCUGGUUCCUAGUUUUGGAUUCAAUUUGGUUUCAGUCAGCAAAUUAACUCAUGACUCCUCUGUGUCAUUGCUGUUUCAAUCCCAAAAAUGUUUGAUCCAGGACCGUAUCACCAGCAGGACGAUUGGUAUAGCAACAACUGUUAAGGGUCUAUACCAACUGCCAGCUCAGGAUUUCAAUCAAGUUUCUAAAAGUGUUCCUCCUCGUGUCCUUGCUGUCAGCUACAAUUUCAAACCUCAAGCCAUUAAUCUCUGGCAUUGGAGGCUAGGCCACCCUAGUGAGGAUAGGAUUCAUUCUUUAAAAACAUGUAAUCCUCAAAUUGUUGCUGAACACAUAGCCCAUUGUGAAGUUUGCCACUUUGCCAAACAGAAACGCUUAUCCUUUCCAAUCAGUGAAACAGUUGCCUCUAAGGCUUUUGAUUUAAUUCAUAUGGACAUCUAGGGGCCUCUAUUAGUCGAGUCCUAUGAUCAUUUUUCCUUCUUUCUUACUGUGGUUGAUGAUUACUCACGAGGAACCUGAGUCUACCUAAUGAAACACAAAUCUGAAGUUCGCUCCCUCAUUGAAUCAUUUUGCAAAAUGGUUAACACUCAAUUUGAAACAAGUGUUAAAUCCAUUAGGAGUGAUCAAGGUAGGGAGUUUGCCAUGACAAAUUACUUCUUAGAACAUGGCAUAAUACAUCAAACCUCUUGUGUAGAGACCCCACAGCAGAAUGCUCGAGUUGAACGCAAACAUCAGCAUAUACUGAAUGUUGCUCGAGCUCUGCGUUUCCAAGCUGGGUUACCCCUCCAGUACUGGAGUGCCUGUGUCCUUCAUGCAGUGCAUCUAAUCAACAGAAUGCCUACCCCUAUCCUGAACAACUUAUUUCCGUUUGAGAAACUUUAUAACGUACCUCCUGCCAUAACUCACAUUCGAGUUUUUGGGUGUCUUUGCUAUGCUUCUACCUUAGCUAGCCACAGAACCAAGUUCCAACCUAGAGCUCGUCAGUGUAUCCUUCUAGGCAUUCCAGCUACUGUCAAAGGGUAUAAAGUCAUGGAUUUAAACAAUGGUCAGGUCUUUCUGUCCAGAGACGUUGUGUUUCAUGAAACCAUCUUUCCCUUCAAGGGUGUGUCAGGUUUAGCCUUACCAAACUUAAAUAAUUAUCCUCCUGAGUUCAUCCCAGAUUCUGAACUCAGGCUGCCUCAUGCAGAAUCGAGUCAGUCUGUCAAUCUAUCAAGCCCUCCUAAUCAUGAUCCAUAUGUUGGUGGUCCUAAUCUUUCGCCUGCAUCUAUGAAUAUACAAACUGAUGAUGUUGAUGUGGUGGUCUCCUCUCCCUCUGAGGGUGGUGAUGACUUGGAACACACAUCUGCGGAUGUUCCUCCAGUAGUCACUCGCCAGUCCUCGAGGGUUAGACGCCCUCCUACUUACCUGAUGGACUAUCACCUUGAUCUAACCGCUGCAAAGCAUGCUCUAGCUGCUGUUGUUUGCUAUGAUUAUCUUUCAGAUGGCCACAGGAAGUUUGCCUUGAGCGUUGUGACUCUCCAGGAACCUAAGACCUACAGGGAGGCUGCUCUUCAGGCAUGCUGGAUUAAGGCAAUGGAGGAGGAGUUAUCUGCUUUGGUUUCCAACCAUACGUGGACAGUUGUUCCCAUUCCACCAGGGAAACAUCCAGUUGGCUGCAAAUGGGUGUAUAAAAUCAAACUGCAUGCUGAUGGCAGUAUUGAACGUCACAAAGCACGCCUAGUUGCUAAAGGAUUCACUCAGGUUUAUGGGGUGGAUUUCCUGGACACCUUUUCUCCUGUUGCCAAGAUCAAUUCUGUCAAAUGUCUGCUAGCAGUUGCUGCUGCUAGGAAUUGGCAUCUCCAACAGAUGGAUGUUUCCAAUGCUUUCCUCAAUGGUGAGCUUGAGGAGGAGGUUUAUAUGCAAGCUCCACCUGGUUUUGACGUUCCACCAGGUCACUGUUGCAAGCUCCAACGAUCCUUGUAUGGUCUUAAACAGGCCAGUCGUCAAUGGUUUGCUAAAUUGACUGAAUCACUCAUACACAAUGGGUUUAGACAAUCUGGAGCUGACUACUCCCUCUUCCUGAAGGGUACUGGAAAUAACAUGGUCGUUUUACUGGUCUAUGUCGAUGACAUCAUCUUGGCAGGAAGUAAUCACUCAGAGAUUGAUCUUGUCAAGGCCUACUUAUAAAAGAUGUUCGAGAUACGAGACCUAGGGCCUUUGAAGUAUUUCCUUGGUCUUGAGAUUGCUAGAUCAAACACUGGAAUCUCAAUAUCACAAAGGAAAUACUGUAUUGACCUGCUCACAGAUACUGGCUUUGCUGAGUUCAAAGGAGCAAAGUCACCAAUGGAUCCAUUGUUACAUCUGACAGCAGAACAAGGAGAGCUGUUGGAGGAAUCAAGCAGUUACAGACAGCUAAUUGGUAGGUUGCACUACCUAACAAUCACCAGGCCUGACAUUGCCUUUGCAGUGCAACAACUGAGCCAAUUUCAAGCCUCACCACGCACUGGCCAUAUGCAGGCAGCACACAGAGUUCUUAGAUAUCUAAAGUUGGCUCCAGGUCAGGGACUUUUCUACAAGUCUGGAGUCUCCCUCGAAAUGAAGGGAUUCUGUGACUCAGAUUGGGCCUCCUGCCCUGAGACCAGGCGAUCUACUACGGGAUAUUGUACAUAUCUUGGAGAAAGUCUAAUUUCAUGGAAGUCUAAGAAACAAUGCACAGUGUCACGCUCAUCAUCUGAGGCUGAGUAUAGGGCCCUGGCACAUUUGGUUUGCGAAUUGCAGUGGAUUACUGGUCUACUAGGUGAACUUGGGGUCCAGGUGAACACUCCUAUAUCUGUGUAUUGUGAUAACAAGUCUGCAAUACAUAUUGCAGAGAAUCCAGUCUUCCAUGAGCGAACCAAGCACAUUGAAAUCGACUGUCAUGUGACCAGAGAACGAAUCAAGUCUGGGCUGGUCAAGCUACUACACGUCAACACAGAAGACCAAGUGGCAGACAUUUUCACAAAACCUCUUCACCGUCGUCGUGUGCACUAUCUCCUUGACAAGUUGGGAAUACUUGACAUAUAUUCGCCAACUUGUGGGAGGCUAUCAGAAGAGGAGACGAAGAGCAGUACGUGUACAUCAUCCAGAGAAGGAAAUGCAUUACCGUUGGAAGAAGAUGAUCAGAGUGACCAGUUUGCAACAGAGUGAAAGUUCAAUGAUCAUAAGUGCAAGCUGGACACUUUCCGUUUAGUGAAGCUGUGUCGUUUUACUUAAGACGUUAUGUAAUAAUUGAACCACUUUGCCAUCUUCGUUUAUUACCGUUUUAGUUUGUUACUACAGUAAAAUGUGAAAAUGCUGUAACGAUAAGAGCAGAGGAAAUGAGAAAUGAAGGAUAAGUUUUCAGCAUCCUCUUCUUCUUCCUUCACUCUCUCUCGUUUCUCUCCAUCGACCUCUCUCACCCAUUUCUCACAUUUUGCAAAUUUGCAUCUCUUGCAAUGAUAAAAGAGGCUCAAAUGUCAAAUGGUAUAUACUAUCCCUUUACUAAUUAAAUAUUAAUAUAAUUAAUGAAUAAUAAAUACUAAAAUUUUUAUAUUUAAUUUUGAUAUCAANNNNNNNNNNNNNAUUUUAAUAAAAUAGUUAAUAUUAUUACUAAUAAAAAUGUAGCAUAAAUGUUAUUAAUUAUAAAUAUAAUAUUUAUUUAUAAUAAUUAAAAUUAUUUGUAUUAAUUGGUUGUUGUUUUUAAAAUAAUAAAAAUAUAAGAUUAUAGUGUACUUGGAUCCCACUUUUGUAAUUACUUUUUGAGUUGUAUGGAUGGAAGCGGUAUGAUAAUGAAGUGUGGAGAAUUGCAAAUUAAUAUGAUGAGACAUAGGGAUCACUUUUGAAAGCAGAGAUGACUUACAUGGAUGGGGAUGACCUAAGCGAAGAAACUCGCCUUUCAGAUUAGCAACAUGGAUUUUAAAUAAAUAAAAUAAAAAUAGGGUCAUAGAUCGUCGAAAAAUAAAUAUAUCGGGUAAUUAUCGUGAAAUAUCGCCACACGGGUUAUAUCGUCAAUUUCUCUUUCUCGGCAAUUUACCGCAUUUCAAAUUCCAUUUGAGAACCCGAAACGUCUCGUGUUUCGCCGUGUGUUUCGGCUAGUAUUUUUGUUUUAGAGGAUUUCCAAAUUGACUUAGCCAUCUGCGGUAACGUUUCGAGUUCGAUUCCGAGGACUCGAAACGAGGAAGUCUUAAUAUUUCAGGCUAUCUCCCGACCUCCAUUCCUCCUCUGUUUUCGGUGGAUGCAGCUGCCAUGUCGUCAACCACCAGAAAGCGGCAGCUAUAUCGGAGCAGACGCAGCCGCUACCGGUGACCAUUAUAGAUUUCUAUGUUUAUCGUCUUGUUUUGCACAAUUAAGCUGUGAUGUGAUUUUGUUUCUUGUUUCCCCUGAACUGUGUUUGAUCUGCGAAUGAUACUUUUGAAUUUUGAAAAAUUUGGUGGCAGGGACAACCCCCAUUUUUCCUGUUGAUGAAGCUUUGGCUAGACAGUUGCCGAAGCUGGGUGGGGUUCGGGAUGGACAGGAUGAAGAAGCUUUAGCCUUAAAAUUCACCGAGAUGGAAUUGUUGAGCAAAGCUCGCGGAACUGCAACCAGUAAGACAAUUUGAGUCUUGUGCUUUACUCUCUUCCCCUUUAGUGUUCAAUGUUGGUUGAACUCUUAACUACCCUGUUAUUUUUAUUGUCAUCGCCGGUGGCAGUCGGUUGGUGGAUUGGGAUAUCUGAGUCGUUAAUUUGGAAACGGCCGCAGACGGCUCAGAAGAAGAACUAAAACUAGAAGGUGGCGAAACAGAGGCGUCCUACAUCCGAAAACAAUGACAACGGCAAGGGAAAGGCAACGGUAAUAGAACCAGGAUGGCUGACGGAGGGGAAAAUUGAUGGAAAGCAAAAUCUCAGAGAGGAGAGAGAGAAUUCUGGAAUUGAAGGAAGAAGAAGAAGAAGAGAAAAAAAGAGAAGCUAUGAAGCAAGGUGUGGAAGAGAAAAGAAGUGAGGGUUUCAUAUUAGCUUUCUAUCAUCUUCUUUUCCUACGAGUUCCCUCUCGAAGUUAUACUUUCAUCAUCAUAUAAAUAAAUAUAUAAGUCAUUGAACAAAUCAAUGACCUGGUGAGAGCAAUGAAGUAGGUAAGUUUGUUUAUGUUCGAAGAUCAACACUAGUCUCGAAAAUUAAUUCACUAAGUCAAAGGAACAGGAAGACCAUACCUCUCAAAAGCCAUCAAAACCUCCAAGGCCAAUGAACUUGAAGACCAUACCUCCUAAAUGCUGAACAUGGCUUCCAGAAC